Molecule: long non-coding RNA, 5591 nt
Organism: Mus musculus (house mouse)
Lineage: Eukaryota; Metazoa; Chordata; Mammalia; Rodentia; Muridae
Product: predicted gene 15651
Exons: 3
Source: RefSeq, a predicted model, not a curated record
CCAGGGCUUAAACUCCAGAUUUGAGUGGUGAGUGGUAGUUUAGAGAACAAACUAAGCUCAGCUUAAGGGUCAGUGUGUGACGUCCUCUCAGGCUGUUCCCUUAUCUCAUAGAGUCAGAAUUCCAGACUGCCCAGCACUUACGUUGCAAGGUUGCUUUGAGAGUUAAAUAAUUUAAUGGAUUAUAAAAUACCUAGUUAACUAUUUGGCCUCGAGCUGGAGCUCAAAAUGAAUCAAAAUUCUUAGUUUGGUUAUCUUAGUUUUGUGUUCUAUACUCAAGUCACAGUCUAUUUAGGAAUGGACUUUGAGGUAUGAUAUUAAUAUGUUUUACUAAGCUGAGCCACUGCCUGUAUUUCCAAUAGUUUGCUAAAUGCAAAUUCCUUUUGUAUAAAAAUAAUUUGUAAAAAAAAAUGAGGAUUAUUUUCCCAUCUUUGCUAGACUAUGUAUGAAUUCUUUCCUUUCUUCCAACCUUCCUUCCUUCCUUUCUUAUCCUUUCCUUUCCUUUUCUUUCAUUUUACAGAACCCUGACUGUUUUAGAACUCACUAUGUAGACUAGGCUGGCUUCAAAUUCACAGAGACCCAUCAGCCUAUGCCUCCUGAAUGCUGGGGUUAAAGGAGUGCACCACUACCAUGCCUGGCUAGAUUAUGAAUUCCUUAAAGUCAGGGACCUUGUCUCAUUUACAGCAGAACACUUUCUAACAUAUUAUAAUCUCAGUAGAAUUAAAGCUCUGUGUUCUUUAUGCUGACAGUGAGACACCACUUUUCAUAACAGCUAAAGUAGGAAUAGUUAAUGCCAGGGGCCUGAUUUGUCUGAGAUAGCUCUCACUGCCACCUCUUGAGGCCUUACUUGUCUGAGAUAGCUCACACUGCUACCUCCUUGGGGCUGGCUUUUAUUCCUUUAACAAAGUUAUUCCACUGGAGAGACCACUUGGUUUCAUAAAAUUACCACUUUCCCUGGCAACAACUAGUUUAGAGAGAUCACUGGGGAUGGGGGUAAAGAAAGCCCAACAAUAGAGUCAUAAUUUGAUGCCUUUUAACACAGACACAGAUACAGACACAGACACACACACACACACACACACACACACACACACACACACACACACUAUCUUUGGUACAAUUUCAAAAUGUUCUCAGGACCACUGAAGCCUUUGGCUCCUGGGUUAAGAAUGUUUAGAGUAGUCCCAAGCAAACUAGCAAAGUGAGAGCUCAGCCCUGACUAGCCCUCUCUUGUUGAAAACGAAACAAACAGACCAAUUCUAUAUUUAGCCUCAAGGUUAUCCCUGAGGCGGGGCCAGUUUUAGGCAUUAAUGCUAAAGGCUUGCAGCCAAGCAGCAACCACUCUUUGAAGAACUUGUGUUCUGCCCAGUAAAAUGAAGCUUUGUUUGAUAAUAUCGUUUACAUUUUCAAAUCCUGGGUAUCAGGCUUUCUUCCUAUCCCUUGUGGCCCUUCCUAAGUUUAGCUGCUGGUGUAAUGGGGUUACCAUGGCAACAACCACCUGCCUAUUUAAAACCAUCUCCCAUGCUAAAUAAGGAAGCCUAGAGAAAAUGGCUGCCUGCCUGCCUGCCUGCCUGCCUGCCUGCCUGCCUUUCUCUCAGUGGACAAGUUGAAUCCUCCUGGGUUUUUUGGAUACAGGCAAGCAAACAGGAUGGAGUAGCAUUGACCCAAAGUUCUCCAGAAGAAACGGCUGGUGGCUGUAAAACAGGCACUGCCUCUGAACAACUGCAUUUCUCAAGCAAGCACAGGGACUUAAAUUCAAGUCCAUAUGCCUGUCAUCUCUACCAGGGGCAACAUGGGGCCUGAACCCCAGCACUGUAGCAGUCAUCCUGCUAAUGGGACCUGGGAAGUGGGAAGCAGAAGGUGGAGAGGCCAUGGUGAAUUCCUGCACUGAGGUGCAUGCUGUGAUUUUUUUUUUUUCCUCCUGGACAGAUCUGUCUUUCUAAUUGGACUUAAUAACAUGAUUUUCUGAUGCUCUAUUUAGCUCAUAUGUUGCUCUGCCUCAAUUUUCAGAACGUGGAGAAACUUCAUCUUUUGCUUCCUUAUUCUCUAAAAACAACAGAGCUGACUUCCUUCCCACAGCAAGAGUCCGUGCAACAGCUGCGCCAAGGGCUUCUUCCCUCGCACGCUGUGCCUUAGCACUUUAUGUUCAGGCACAUCUGGUUUUCUCUCUGCGGACAGCCCUUCUUUUUUUUAUCAAGUUGUAAAAAACGUAUUCUUGAUUUUUUUUUUUUUUAUCCCCGAUGUGGCAUCUUUGCCAUUAGAAAGCCCUCCAUGCCAGCUCCAUUUUCUUGCUUUGUGUUCUCUUAGGUCUCCUCUGUGCAGACACAUCACUUCAUACACACUGGUAAUCACCCUGCUUUUCAGUCUGUUUCCAGUGGGGUUGCAGAGGGCAGCGGGCAGUGAGUUCUGGGUCAUCUGUCCCAAACACUUAAUAGCAUGUAGUCUCCAGUAUAUUUUCAAAAGAUGUUUUUGAGCGAGUGAGUGAAUGAGUGAGUGAGCAAAUGAACAAAUGAGUGAGUGAAUGAAUGAGUGAACAAGCCAAUGAGUGAAUGAAUGAAUGAGCAAGUGAAUGAGUGAGUGAGUGGAUGAGCAGGUAAGUGGGUAAGUGAGUGAAUGUAUGAAUGAGAGAGUGAGGAAGUGAAUGAGUGAAUGAGCAGAACCCAUGGGUUUCCCAGACACAUGCACCUGAGAACCUGUGAGGGUAUUGGGUGUAAAGAAGACACUAAAAGUCUGUAGAAUGGGUAGAAUGAGAGAUUUUUUGUUGUUGUUGUUUUGUUCACUUUUUUUCCAAAAGCAGUCCUGAGGCUGCUAUUCCACUGGGAUGAGCAUCUGUCUGCCUUUCUGGGAGAAGAGAGGACACAGGUUUGGUUCUUUUUGUAGAGGAAGAACAAGAGGAUGGACGAGGCAGAAAUAAAUAUUAUUUGUGUGGGAAACAGGCAGACUUCUGCCAAAAGGUUCAAGUCGGGGCCACUUCCUGAAGAGGCCACAGCACACCUCCACACAUCCUAUGUAGAUGAUCAAGAAGGGCCUGUUCCCGUAUGAGCACCACUUCUAAAGGGAAGGACUGUCCAGGCACCAAGAGGACCAAGCUGGGCGGGCGGUCCUGAAACAGCUUAGUAACAACAGCAGCGUGCCAGGCCAGGUCCUCAGACAGCGGAGAAGGGGAGCCUAUGGACACAGCAUCCUUGAACAUCAAGGAAGAAACGAGCUGGCCCAGAGUUGGGACACAAAGAGAAAUCCCCCAAAGUGGUUAUUCUCAAAAGGCCACCACUCCAUGCUGCCUGGCCCAUCAAUGGAGCUCAAGGUCACCUCAGAAAAAGACUUGAAGAGGCGAAACAAGAAGCUUCGAAACCAGCACGUAAACUACCUAUUGUCAGGAGAUCUGGUCUCUUGAGAAAGGUUCCUUCUGGCACCUACUUAUCUCUGAGCCUACACCACAUGCCUGCUAAGGGUGCAGACUCUCAAUAGUCACAAUACCAAUGAUCUCAAAGCUUUGGGCACAACUGAACUUGGGUUUUAUGCCUGUCAUCUUUUCUUGUCAUUAACAAAUUUGUAUUUGACUUUUAAACAUCUUAAAGCUUGCCUACUUUCCCAGUGUAAAUAGGACUCUUCCAUGUAAAUACUUUAAUAAAAUAUGAUAGUGGUUUAAAAAUAGUGGUUGCAUGCAUGCCCGGGGGUGAUGAGGUGGAGGAAGGGUUGUCAUUGCCCAUUGGUGACUAUAGACAACAAGGGCUGGCAAGACAUGUUUGUAGUAUGCUGUGGGUCCAGGGUCUGAGUGAGACCGAAUGUCACCCUAAUACAGUUCAGAUGCUGUUAGAUCCGGGUUUGACAUUACCUCACUGUUCUCAGCCUCUUCCUGGUAUAGCUCCCAGGCUGUGGAGUCAGGGGCUGAGCUGGUAGGGAAAUGUCCUCAAAUAACACCCGAACUUCUGCUUUGAGGAGAAUUCUGCGGCCUCACGCAAUAGCAACCCGUGAGGUUCAAAGAUCAAGCCCAAGUCAUUAUCCCACUGCUGCCCACCUGCCUGGGGCUAGGCGUGGAAUCCAGGCAUGAUCUUCAAAUCAGUACAACAAAGACGAUAGCGUCAUAGAAGAGAGAGAAAUGAGCAAGAAAAGGAAAAUGGACAACUCCAUGAAAUGGAAACCCUCCUUCCGGCAACGUGGCAGGAAAGCGAAGUCCCCUGGCGGUCGACCCAGGCCAAGGACAUUUCCGUGGUAGCAGGGUGUUUCUCUCUCAUCAUAUGGAAUCUGUGUGCAAUUGAAGCAUCCUGGAAACGGAAGAAAAGAAGGCAAGAAAAGCCUGGUUAGUGAUUGUGGCCAUGAGGUAUGGUGGGAAGACACACAUAUAUGCCCCUGGAAGGCCCAGAUUCCAGAGACUCCAAAUCAUAGGGGCACAGCACCGCGUCCAGGCGUAAGCUAGUGCCACCACUCCGUCCUUUGAGAGCCUCACUUGGUUGCCUCAGAGCCUGGCACUCAUCACAGUAUCUCAAGCCCAGUGAGUGGCCACAGUUCAGCCUUUGUAAACACAGGCAAGAGCAGGCUCUAAAGAGAAGAGUGAGGGGCUCUCCUCAGGUGAAGCCAGAAGCCAGUGAGGAGUGGGUGAGGUGUGGUGAGGUGUGGUGUGGUGUGGUGUGGUGUGGUGUGGUGUGGUGUGGUGUGGUGAUGGGUGGUGACAUAAAGUGAGGACUAUUUCAUGAGAAGUUGCAAAAAUAGUACUUUUUCUCAUGUCCCACUCACCCAGCGUCCAGCGAUGAUAACAUCUUAUAUAACAGCACAUUAUCAAACCCAAAGCUGUCGCUGGUAUUAACUCUUUGUUGUCUGUUUCACCCAAAACAAUUAACAAUAGUACUGGAUAGUGCGUUUAGCAGACAACAAAAGUGUAUUAAACGUCUAACUUCUGCCUAUUAAUCAUUCUAUCCACAGGACUGCCUCUGAAGCUAGCGACAAUCUUGAUCCUUUCCUAUCCAAUCUGUUGCCCCACCCCCCACUUUGGCUGCAUGGCUGGCUAUCUGUACCACAGAACUCACCACGACGCUCCAUGACACUGUGUUUCUGGGUGUCCCAUUUCUCAGGUUGGAACCAGAGUCCAGCCCAGAGUCCUAUCUGCAUCCCACACUCCCAUUACAGCUAUCUGUGAGUGCUCAUGGUUGUGACUGGUGUUGACAUGGUGGGGCUCCAGGACCUAUAGGCCAGAAUAGGAUCCAAGCUGAACUCGGUUCUUCACUCUUAGCCUCCUGCACCUCCUAACGAGCCCAGCAGAAGAGUGUGUACUGCCCCCUUAUCACACAGUCCCAAUCGAGCACUGUGGAGGCAGAUGCUGAACACUCGAAAUUAACUAACUAAUUGGUUGGAGACAGGACAGCCCAGAAACAAGGAGCUGAUUUAGAUUUGCCCAGAAGUGACUGCAGCAGCCAAUCAGAAAUCUCUGGGGAUGCUGGGGUAUCCCUGUAGUCUCAGCAUGUGGAUAGAGUGAGGCAGGAGGAUUUAGAGUUCAAGGCUAGCCUGGACUACAAGGUGGUACUAUAUCUCAAUGAACCUACCCACUCACACGCCUACCUAACAACCAACAAUCAACAAAUAAAUAACCAACAAAAAUC